RNAcentral lists this ribosomal RNA (253 nucleotides) under uncultured bacterium. RNAcentral's name for it is "partial 16S ribosomal RNA". It matches the Rfam family "Bacterial small subunit ribosomal RNA", at positions 524 to 776 of the family's 1533-position model. The record is from RNAcentral.
UACGUAGGGACCGAGCGUUGUCCGGAAUCAUUGGGCGUAAAGAGCGUGUAGGCGGCCUUUUAAGUCCUGCGUGAAAUCCUGCGGCUCAACCGCAGACGGUCGUGGGAAACUGGAAGGCUAGAGUGCGGGAGAGGAGAGUGGAAUUCCCGGUGUAGCGGUGAAAUGCGCAGAUAUCGGGAAGAACACCCGUGGCGAAGGCGGUUCUCUGGGCCUUACCUGACGCUGAGGAGCGAAAGCGUGGGGAGCGAACAGG